GGGGGGCACAAACAGGGAAAAAGAAGGUAAACUAAAUGUAAGACACAUAAAUCAAAGAUAGCCUCUAAAAAAUUUUAACAAGAUACAUCAUUGAUUCAUUGAACUAUUCAGUUAAACCACACAUAUACUUUUUGUAAUCACUGCCAUGUUAAGAUAUGGAAUUUGCUUCUUGUUGAAUGCCAGUAAAUAAACCAAGAGCAAUAAGGAAGACCAAAAAAUUUUACAUUUGGUGAAUUACGCC
Molecule: unclassified non-coding RNA, 241 nt
Filed under: Hevea brasiliensis (rubber tree)
Lineage: Eukaryota; Viridiplantae; Streptophyta; Magnoliopsida; Malpighiales; Euphorbiaceae
Source: RNAcentral